This 69-nucleotide transfer RNA is filed under the name uncultured Acidobacteriota bacterium. RNAcentral's name for it is "uncultured Acidobacteria bacterium tRNA-Ala". It matches the Rfam family "tRNA". Rfam says of the family: Transfer RNA (tRNA) molecules are approximately 80 nucleotides in length. Their secondary structure includes four short double-helical elements and three loops (D, anti-codon, and T loops). Lineage: Bacteria; Pseudomonadati; Acidobacteriota. The record is from RNAcentral.
GGGGAAUUAGCUCAGCUGGGAGAGCGCCUGGUUUGCAACCAGGAGGUCACCGGUUCGAGCCCGGUAUUC